UACGUAGGGGGCAAGCGUUAUCCGGAUUUACUGGGUGUAAAGGGAGCGUAGACGGUGAUGCAAGUCAGAAGUGAAAGCCCGCGGCUCAACUGCGGGACUGCUUUUGAAACUGUAUAACUAGAGUGCAGGAGAGGUAAGCGGAAUUCCUAGUGUAGCGGUGAAAUGCGUAGAUAUUAGGAGGAACACCAGUGGCGAAGGCGGCUUACUGGACUGUAACUGACGUUGAGGCUCGAAAGCGUGGGGGGCAAACAGG
RNAcentral lists this ribosomal RNA (253 nucleotides) under uncultured bacterium. RNAcentral describes it as "partial 16S ribosomal RNA". It matches the Rfam family "Bacterial small subunit ribosomal RNA", at positions 524 to 776 of the family's 1533-position model. The record is from RNAcentral.